UACGUAGGGGGCUAGCGUUGUCCGGAUUUAUUGGGCGUAAAGAGCGUGUAGGCGGCCUGACAGGUCUGCUGUGAAAACUCGAGGCUCAACCUCGAGAUGUCGGCGGAAACCGUCUGGCUAGAGUCCGGAAGAGGAGAGUGGAAUUCCUGGUGUAGCGGUGAAAUGCGCAGAUAUCAGGAAGAACACCUAUGGCGAAGGCGGCAUCCUGGACCGGUAUUGACGCUGAUGCGCGAAAGCCAGGGGAGCAAACGGG
Molecule: ribosomal RNA, 253 nt
Filed under: uncultured bacterium
Lineage: Bacteria
Description: partial 16S ribosomal RNA
Rfam family: Bacterial small subunit ribosomal RNA
Source: RNAcentral